GCCAACGUAGCUCAGUGGAAGAGCAGCUGUUUCGUAAACAGCAGGUCGGCGGUUCAAAUCCGCCCGUUGGCUCCA
This 75-nucleotide transfer RNA is filed under the name SAR202 cluster bacterium Io17-Chloro-G3. Its description in RNAcentral is "tRNA-Thr". It matches the Rfam family "tRNA". Rfam says of the family: Transfer RNA (tRNA) molecules are approximately 80 nucleotides in length. Their secondary structure includes four short double-helical elements and three loops (D, anti-codon, and T loops). The record is from RNAcentral. Lineage: Bacteria; Bacillati; Chloroflexota; Dehalococcoidia. RNAcentral also lists the same sequence under 3 other names.